GACGAACGCUGGCGGCGUGCUUAACACAUGCAAGUCGAACGGAAAGGCCCUGCUUUUGUGGGGUGCUCGAGUGGCGAACGGGUGAGUAACACGUGAGUAUCCUGCCCUUGACUUUGGGAUAACUUCAGGAAACUGGGGCUAAUACCGGAUAGGAGCUCCUGCUGCAUGGUGGGGGUUGGAAAGUUUCGGCGGUUGGGGAUGGACUCGCGGCUUAUCAGCUUGUUGGUGGGGUAGUGGCUUACCAAGGCUUUGACGGGUAGCCGGCCUGUGAGGGUUACCGGCCACAUUGGGACUGAGAUACGGCCCAGACUCCUACGGGAGGCAGCAGUGGGGAAUAUUGCACAAUGGGCGGAAGCCUGAUGCAGCAACGCCGCGUGCGGGAUGACGGCCUUCGGGUUGUAAACCGCUUUCGCCUGUGACGAAGCGUGAGUGACGGUAAUGGGUAAAGAAGCACCGGCUAACUACGUG
RNAcentral lists this ribosomal RNA (468 nucleotides) under uncultured bacterium. RNAcentral's name for it is "partial 16S ribosomal RNA". It matches the Rfam family "Bacterial small subunit ribosomal RNA", at positions 28 to 507 of the family's 1533-position model. The record is from RNAcentral.